UCUUGGGCUGCUACUUCUGUACUCUGUAUCUAUGAAUAGUGAUAGUACUGCUUGGUGUUUCCAUCACUGACUUCUGGGGGGCUUCCCAGGGGAGUUGUUCGUCCGGUUCCUGCUUGGACCAGUCCAGAAGUCUGCUGUCCUACAGGUCUUUCUUCAGUGGCUCAAAUUCGUACAUCUAACAGAACCACUUCUGGAGUUUUGACCUUCCCUUUCUGCUCUCAGUCUUCUGGUUUUCUCUCCUGGGAAACCUGGGAAAAGAUUUCACUCCCUCCCCGGAUUCAGCAUACUUAGCUCAUGGAGAGGACUUCGGCCGUGUUUCCCUGAGGUUGCUUUCAAAGCCCGACCUGUUGCUCCGUCGAUGACCCGGUCCAGGCUGAAGGCUUGCUGUGGGAUUGAUGCUCCCUGGAUGACCGGGGUCCAGGCUGAAGGCUUGCUGUGGGAUUGAUGCUCCCUGGAUGACCGGGUCCAGGCUGAAGGCUUGCUGUGGGAUUGAUGCUCCCUGGAUGACCGGGUCCAGGCUGAAGGCUUGCUGUGGGAUUGAUGCUCCCUGGAUGACCGGGGUCCAGGCUGAAGGCUUGCUGUGGGAUUGAUGCUCCCUGGAUGACCGGGUCCAGGCUGAAGGCUUGCUGUGGGAUUGAUGCUCCCUGGAUGACCGGGUCCAGGCUGAAGGCUUGCUGUGGGAUUGAGUCAUGUGUUUUACUUGUCUUGUUUGUGUGCUGGUUUUUAAAGCACAGAUGUGUUUAGCACCAUCCCGUGGGGAGACAUGCGAGGUUAUAGUGCUCUAUUUCCAGGCACAGAAGCUCACGCCUUGUGGAAAAACGGAGACUCCUCAUUCUGAGCCACUGCAUCCUGUGAAUGGGCUCAGCAGCCAGGAGGACCCAAGGAACUAAAGCGCCCUGGAUCCUGGAGCGAUUUCUCAGGACCAUGAGCUCCACAGGUCCCACGAAGGAAAAACCUUCAGGAAAUCAAGGGAAACUACCAGGAUGGGCCACUUCCGUUGAGGAAGGGUAAAUUUGUACCGGUGCGGGUGGGUUGUGCAGGAGAGAGAACCGGGAAAUGCAGAGUUCUGUGUAAGACAGUGAGACUAUAAAGCUCUCCAAGGAAUCACGAAAGGAAGGGAAUGAAAGGAUGGGGACAGAGGACACAGAGAGGUCAGUGGAAGAAAGCGACAGGGGUGACAGAGACUCUGACAUUCAGAUCUAGCAAGGCUGAGCCCGAGGAGAAGAGGUGACCAGAGAGAUGCUCCCUGGUAGAUGGGCAGCCACCACCUGUCACACGCUGUGUGACUCCAGGGAGAGAGGCAGCGCCUUGUUCACAGUCACUUUCACAGCUUCUCAGCAGCUGAUGAUAAAGAUCCCCAGGAAGGUGUGCUCUUCUCUGGGUGCCAUGGGGUCCUCAGUGGACCAGCAGGGCUGUGUGGGCCAGGGCGAUUUUAGCAGUAGCCACUCACCUUCCCACCACUUCCGGUGGUGGAGCCCCACCCCGCAAGCCCAAGGCCCUCACCCCCAGAAGUCGCCUACUCCCCGGGAUCUCCUGGUGGAGGCGGGGCUCUGGCACACUUGGAAACGGUCACCUUGGUACCCACAGAGUUGUAAGAGAGCAGGGUGCAGCUCGGGGAAGACUCAGCAAGCAGUCAAGCAUGCAGUCAAGGCCCUCAGUCCAGAGAAUCCUAAAUACCCAGGGAGCCCCUGGGCAUCUCAGGGGCUGGAGGAAGCACUGGGGAUCUCAUACUGUGUGGAAUGGUGUUCCUGGAGGUGUCACUUACAUUUCUCAGGACAGGGCAACUCCAGCGGGCCGGAGAACUCAGAGCCUAUAAAAGCCAACAUCCAUACUCCGAGUGUGUACUGGGUGCAACUUCCAAUAACAUCUGUCACCCACAGGUACUGCGGGGCUGGGAGCGCUCCCCCAAUGCCCUGUGUGUGCACAGGCGCACCCGGCUCGCAGCCCUGCGGGCACCACUGCAGGUUUGGAAAAGCACGUUAUGAAGGGCGGAUCACACCCACAUUUAUUUUUUAGGAGUAUUUCUACUGAUGAAUUAUUAAUUUUACCUUUUAUGAGUUUUAUGGUAUUAAACAAUGUGUACUUGAGAGAAAAGCAAAAUGUCAGCGGCACAAGAUGCCCCAUUUUUAUAUGUAAUGAGUGCUAAGAACACACAGCAACAUCUCCAACACCACCUGCUUUCCUGCUCACAAGACCUGAAAAAUAACAGCGGAAGCAAAUCUGUGUGAACCACAGCGAAGAUGCCAGUGCGCUCUGGCACAGAAACAGUCGUGCCUCGACCGUCACCCCUGAGGCAGCCUCCACAGUGCCAAGGACGCCGUCCUGCACAGGUCUCCUUGCGCUGCCCGCACGUGCCUUGUUUCCCUGUCCUCCUUGGGGACACUCCCGACCUCCUGAGGCCUUCCCGUUCUCUGAGGGGUCCUGGUGGUGCUGCCCCCGGCUGCCCACGCUCGGCUCCAGCUCUGGAGCUCUUUACAGAGCUCUUUGGGGAGAGGCAUACCGUUCCUCCUCCUUCCCCAAUUCCAGCCACCAAGUAAGAAAAUUUCUCCGUGAUGUUUUCUGCUUGUUAUUUUCUUUGUAAACUGUGAAACAAUUUAUGCCUGACACGCUUGGGAUGAAUAAAACACAACCAAAGCCAG
Long non-coding RNA from Cavia porcellus (domestic guinea pig), 2639 nucleotides. RefSeq lists it as uncharacterized. Lineage: Eukaryota; Metazoa; Chordata; Mammalia; Rodentia; Caviidae. The record is from RefSeq and is a predicted model, not a curated record. The transcript has 2 exons.